UGAUCUUUUCCCUUUCCUCCAUGUCUCUCUGUCGUUUUUCCUGAUCCACAAAAACAAGAACUCACUUGAUUAAUAAUAAAUGUUAAACAUCUCAUAAUGAAAAACUAUGUUGAAUUUAUAUGAUCCGCAUCUCUAGCUUCCUUUGAUGACUUAUCAUAUCAGACCUCAUGUUUCUCUGGCUCUUAACUUCUUUUGGAGCAGACAUAAACUUUCUCCAUUCCCGCAUUUUUCAGCCCCACAGAGUUCUUAUGAAGUUGAGUUUUCUCGAUAGCAAAUAAUUGUUUGAUGGCCUGACUUUUAGCUCGACCUCAGGUUGGAAAUCCCCAUCUCCUGUGAUGAGCACCGUGUUUUUGAGCCUGACUUUUUUAAGCCAACAUUGUAUCAGAGCUUUUAUUUGUUUAUCUGCUGUUUGGUCUCUUU
Molecule: long non-coding RNA, 420 nt
Filed under: Brassica napus (rape)
Lineage: Eukaryota; Viridiplantae; Streptophyta; Magnoliopsida; Brassicales; Brassicaceae
Description: long non-coding RNA (BNAP_LNC014553)
Source: RNAcentral